Molecule: long non-coding RNA, 329 nt
Organism: Ochotona princeps (American pika)
Lineage: Eukaryota; Metazoa; Chordata; Mammalia; Lagomorpha; Ochotonidae
Exons: 3
Source: RefSeq, a predicted model, not a curated record
CUUGCUCUCCAGAUGACAGGAGCUCUGCAGCCAGCCUCGGCUGUGACGGCAUCCCAGGCUCUCCUCUGGCUCCCACCUUCCCAUCUUGUGAGGUUGUCAGAAGUGGACACUAAGGAUUCGUGCCACUAGGCAGAGCGUCCAUUUUCUUAUUCCUCAGUGGCUUCUGAUGGUUCCUUCAGCCAAAAUGGAAUAAAACACAGUGCAUGGGAGGAACAUUGUAGUCAAGACACAAUCUCGUAGGAAAGCAGCUGAGGAUGGCCCACAAGUUUGCAACAAUGCGACCAUGUGGGGUAUCUGGAAGAAGCUCCUGACCCCUAGGCUCAGCUCAG